CAGUAGCCGCGGUAAUACGGAGGAUCCAAGCGUUAUCCGGAUUUAUUGGGUUUAAAGGGUGCGUAGGCGGCUCAUUAAGUCAGGGGUGAAAGACGGUAGCUUAACUAUCGCAGUGCCUUUGAUACUGAUGAGCUUGAAUGUAGUUGAGGUAGGCGGAAUGUGACAAGUAGCGGUGAAAUGCAUAGAUAUGUCACAGAACACCAAUUGCGAAGGCAGCUUACUAAAGUAUGAUUGACGCUGAGGCACGAAAGCGUGGGGAUCAAACAGGAUUAGAUACCCGCGUAUCCCUGUCUCUUAUACA
This 301-nucleotide ribosomal RNA is filed under the name uncultured bacterium. RNAcentral describes it as "partial 16S ribosomal RNA". It matches the Rfam family "Bacterial small subunit ribosomal RNA", at positions 509 to 809 of the family's 1533-position model. The record is from RNAcentral.